UCCCAUCUGCACUGAGAGCACCAAGACCAGAGCUUGGGCCCAUGGUAGAACACUCACCUUGCUGCAGGUGCGCCCUUCUGAGAGGCCUUGAGUGAGACACUUACACAUGCAAAAAACUUCCAUCCUGAAUGGAAAGAAGUCUGGGGUGGUGGUUUGCUGACAGACCCAGGCUGGGAGAAGCCUGCAGCAAUCAGAGGCCAUUUCCUGGGCCACAAGGAGCCACCUGCUGAGCCCACUGCUCCCCAUCUCCUCUCCUACGUGUCUGCCCUCUCAAACGUGCUUCCUCAGGGCACUUGUUCUCUUUCUUCAUUGAGCAAGCAGCACUCACACCUGCUCCCCUCACCCUCCCACGCGGCUCAGCAUUGCAACAAAAUUAGGAAACUAUGCCCAUUUCUCCACAGAAAAUCCUUGCAGGGCUCUGCCAGCUGCCACCCCUCUGACAGAUGUUCUGCUCAAGCCCUCACUAUCGUUCUUACACAGUGGCAGCCUGGGUAAAUAUUUCACGCCUCAUGCCAAACUUUUAGUGCUCUCAGUUGGAGGGAAUGGCAUCACCAAAUUCAGCCUGGGCCAUCCACAGCUUUGGGAUGCUGAUUUCUGAACUCUCCAUGGUCUUGCUUGUAGGCCUGCUGAGUGAUGACAUUCCCUGAGCUGCUUUCCUGGGAGGCGGAGCGAGAAGGAAUGACAGCAAGGCAUGUUGCGGGAGCACCAUUCUCUGCUUGCCAGUCUCCCAUGGACAUUUUCAGUGUCAGGCUACCUUGUGAGGAAGGAAGUGAGCACCAGAGGCCCGCUCUUGGGAAGUGCAGGAAGAAGCUCGGUCCAGCCACAGACUGCAGCAAGGAGGGUGCUGUCAUGCAGAAAAUCUUGGCAGAAGCCUCCGAGUGCUGAGCCCUCUCCCAGCACCACCAACCAAGGCAGCCAAGCGAGCGACAGCUACUAACAGGCCAUCUCCAGCCUGGCCCAGAUCCGAGUGCCUGCCUGAGCCAAUGCUCACUAGCACUGUGCUCUACCUAGGCACAGUCAGCCAGGUGGCAUUGGCAAGCGACCAAGGCAAGCAGCUCACUCCUGGGGAGCAGUCUUCCAUCCGAGGUGGAACGUGACAGGAGAUGUGGUGCCCAUUGGCAGCGAGAUCAGAUGUGCCUUAUAACAGUUUCUGAAGCUCUGGAACUAGUUCAGGCCUGAAAUGUAGAGAAAUUUGGUUAACUUGUUCUGUUUUGUCUGAAUAGCUUCUCUUUUAUUUUUUUGUGCGUGUGGGAUCUGGCUUCAGCUCCUGUUGGGAGUGCUGAAAUUCCAUCACAAAAGCUGCCUCAUCACUUAGCUUUUUAUUAUAGUCUUUCAGCACCACAUGACUGUUAGUGAAUCUCCAGCCAUGCUGGAAAUGGGAAAAAAACAAUAAAUAGCUUUUUAGAUAGUGCAAAAAAGACCAUGUGUUUCUGCCAACAGCCACCCCCAUUUACAUUUCCCCUCUCCCCCAACUACCACAAGAUGGGAUUAACUGGAGGUCCCCAUUACCUUCAGGAUGAUUAUUUGCAGUGGGAAGUAUUUUUCAAAGUGAGUGACAGCACUGUGGUGGGAGGAAGAGAGAUCCCUUGAGGGGCCUCUAACACUCCUCUUUGCAUUUUCCAUUCCUUAGUAAUCACUCCUCUGCAGGCCUGUCCUACAGGGCUGGCCUGCCUAGCCCAUAAUUGCCAGAGAAAUCAAAAUAUAAAGUAUGGCAGCUGCAGGCAUCCAGUGGAAAAACAUCCCUGCAUGCACAGGCACAAGACUAAGGGAGAGAGAGAGGGGAGAGAAAGCACAUUAAAGGAAAGGCAACACUUUUAGCAGGCUGGAGUGUCCUUGACCAAAGGAGACAUCAAAGACAGCUCCAGUGAUUUACUCUUUGACAGGCUGGCAUCUCUGUGAUUCACAGAGCUAAUCAAUUAGGUGAUACAUUCCCCCUCCCUGCCACCCCUUUAUUUUUAACAGCUUCUUGCCAAGAGUGGAAAUGCUCCACAACUGAAUGGGUAACCACAUCCAGACCACACUGCAAGACCUGACAAAUAUCAUCCCAGUGGAUUGCAAGGGGGUCAGAGCUCUGCUAAAGGGGAUUUGUCACUGGGCAAGGCAGCUUAGCCCCAUCAACAAUGCACGAAACAUAUUCCUGGGUCACACAAAACAACCAGCAUAGCAAAGUUGCACAACCCCUCUAUUUAACUGGAUUUAGGUCUAUCCCUACCUGACCCCAUCUGUGCCACAUGCAGGCUUUACAAGACAUCCAGCACUUCAGACCUUCAGACCUGGGCAAGCAAAGUGGCCUUAAGAAGCACCCCUCCCUCUGAACAUAUAUUUCUACAUAUCUGAACAUACAUAUCUACACCUCUGAAC
Zonotrichia leucophrys gambelii is the source of this 2361-nucleotide long non-coding RNA. RefSeq lists it as uncharacterized. The record is from RefSeq and is a predicted model, not a curated record. The transcript has 3 exons. NCBI's taxonomy places the organism in Eukaryota, Metazoa, Chordata, Aves, Passeriformes, Passerellidae.